UGCGUAGGCGGGUCUUUAAGUCAGGGGUGAAAUCCUGGAGCUCAACUCCAGAACUGCCUUUGAUACUGAGGAUCUUGAGUUCGGGAGAGGUGAGUGGAACUGCGAGUGUAGAGGUGAAAUUCGUAGAUAUUCGCAAGAACACCAGUGGCGAAGGCGGCUCACUGGCCCGAUACCGACGCUGAGGCACGAAAGCUGGGGAGCAAACA
RNAcentral lists this ribosomal RNA (206 nucleotides) under uncultured bacterium. RNAcentral describes it as "partial 16S ribosomal RNA". It matches the Rfam family "Bacterial small subunit ribosomal RNA", at positions 568 to 774 of the family's 1533-position model. The record is from RNAcentral.